Bos taurus (domestic cattle) is the source of this 426-nucleotide long non-coding RNA. The record is from Ensembl. Lineage: Eukaryota; Metazoa; Chordata; Mammalia; Artiodactyla; Bovidae.
GGGCCUUGUUCACUGAAACUUGGUCUCCCCAUGUCGCUCUCUCUCCCAAAUUCUGGCUGAGUCUCCAUCUGGAGUGCGGAACCCGCCAUGCUUGCUAACUAUGCCUGGGCUUCUAAGAUCCGACCGGGGAGGCCUCAGUGUCUCCUCUCCUUCGGGAGAACGGAAGGACGCCUGUGGCCUAUUGCUGAUUACGUAGCAGCUCCCGUGAAACAUCUGUGGACUGAUAAGGCUGCAUCUUCAGGAGUUUUACCCCUUGUUUCUCUUCAGUAUAACCCUCUCCCCAGUGAUGAAUCAUCAGUCAUUGACAGCGAUCAUGGGAAAGAUGGGAUCUUCCUGACCCAGAGACUGAACUUGAAUUUCCUACGUUUCCUGCAUUGGCAGGUGGAAUCUUUACCACUGAGUCACCUGGGAAUUCUUUAAUAAUUU